This 254-nucleotide ribosomal RNA is filed under the name uncultured bacterium. RNAcentral describes it as "partial 16S ribosomal RNA". It matches the Rfam family "Bacterial small subunit ribosomal RNA", at positions 524 to 776 of the family's 1533-position model. The record is from RNAcentral.
UACGUAGGGUGCGAGCGUUGUCCGGAAUUAUUGGGCGUAAAGGGCUCGUAGGCGGUUUGUCACGUCGGGAGUGAAAACUCAGGGCUUAACCCUGAGCCUGCUUCCGAUACGGGCAGACUAGAGGUAUGCAGGGGAGAACGGAAUUCCUGGUGUAGCGGUGAAAUGCGCAGAUAUCAGGAGGAACACCGGUGGCGAAGGCGGUUCUCUGGGCAUUACCUGACGCUGAGGAGCGAAAGUGUGGGGGAGCGAACAGG